Molecule: ribosomal RNA, 406 nt
Filed under: uncultured bacterium
Lineage: Bacteria
Description: partial 16S ribosomal RNA
Rfam family: Bacterial small subunit ribosomal RNA
Source: RNAcentral
AUUGAACGCUGGCGGCAGGCCUAACACAUGCAAGUCGAACGAGUGGCGGACGGGUGAGUAAUGUCUGGGAAACUGCCUGAUGGAGGGGGAUAACUACUGGAAACGGUAGCUAAUACCGCAUACCAUCAGAUGUGUCCAGAUGGGAUUAGCUAGUUGGUGGGGUAACAGCGCACCAAGGCGACGAUCCCUAGCUGGUCUGAGAGGAUGACCAGCCACAAUGGGACUUAGACACGGUCCUGACUCCUACGGGAGGAAGCAGUGGGUAAUAUUGCAGCAUGGGCGAAAGCCGUAUGCAGCCAUGCCGCAAGUAUGAAGAAGAACUUCGGGUUGUAAUGUACUUACAGCAGGGAGGCGUUACCCGCAGAAGAAGCACCGGCUAACUCCGUGCCAGCAGCCGCGGUAAUUA